RNAcentral lists this ribosomal RNA (446 nucleotides) under uncultured bacterium. RNAcentral describes it as "bacterial SSU rRNA". It matches the Rfam family "Bacterial small subunit ribosomal RNA", at positions 29 to 524 of the family's 1533-position model. The record is from RNAcentral.
AACGAACGCUGGCGGCAGGCUUAACACAUGCAAGUCGAACGCCCCGCAAGGGGAGUGGCAGACGGGUGAGUAACACGUGGGAACGUGCCCUUCGCUUCGGGAUAGCCUCGGGAAACUGGGAGUAAUACCGAAUACGCCGUAUUGGGAAGAUUUAUCGCCCAAGGAUGAGCCCGCGUAGGAUUAGCUAGUUGGUGAGGUAAAGGCUCACCAAGGCGACGAUCCUUAGCUGGUCUGAGAGGAUGAUCAGCCACACUGGGACUGAGACACGGCCCAGACUCCUACGGGAGGCAGCAGUGGGGAAUAUUGGACAAUGGGCGAAAGCCUGAUCCAGCAAUGCCGCGUGAGUGAUGAAGGCCUUAGGGUUGUAAAGCUCUUUUACCCGGGAUGAUAAUGACAGUACCGGGAGAAUAAGCUCCGGCUAACUCCGUGCCAGCAGCCGCGGUAAU